This 482-nucleotide ribosomal RNA is filed under the name uncultured bacterium. RNAcentral's name for it is "partial 16S ribosomal RNA". It matches the Rfam family "Bacterial small subunit ribosomal RNA", at positions 28 to 507 of the family's 1533-position model. The record is from RNAcentral.
GAUGAACGCUAGCGGCAGGCCUAAUACAUGCAAGUCGAACGAGAUUAAGAGGCUUGCUUCUUAUGAAAGUGGCGCACGGGUGCGUAACGCGUAUGCAACCUACCUUAAUCAGGGGGAUAGCCCGAAGAAAUUCGGAUUAAGACCGCAUAAAAACACAGGAUAGCAUUAUCCAAUGUUCAAAUAUUUAUAGGAUUAAGAUGGGCAUGCGUGUCAUUAGCUAGUUGGCGGGGUAACGGCCCACCAAGGCGACGAUGACUAGGGGAUCUGAGAGGAUGACCCCCCACACGGGUACUGAGACACGGACCAGACUCCUACGGGAGGCAGCAGUAAGGAAUAUUGGUCAAUGGAGGGAACUCUGAACCAGCCAUGCCGCGUGCAGGAAGACAGCCCUCUGGGUCGUAAACUGCUUUUAUUCGGGAAUAAACCUUUCUACGUGUAGGAAGCUGAAUGUACCGAAGGAAUAAGGAUCGGCUAACUCCGUG